RNAcentral lists this transfer RNA (22 nucleotides) under Damrongia trisepala. RNAcentral's name for it is "partial tRNA-Phe". The record is from RNAcentral. Lineage: Eukaryota; Viridiplantae; Streptophyta; Magnoliopsida; Lamiales; Gesneriaceae.
UGGUCGGGAUAGCUCAGCUGGU